Myotis davidii is the source of this 76-nucleotide non-coding RNA. The record is from Rfam. Lineage: Eukaryota; Metazoa; Chordata; Mammalia; Chiroptera; Vespertilionidae.
GGUGGUUCUCAGAUGAUGUACCUUGGAAAUAGGCUUCCUCCUCUCUGGUUCCAGGAUGCGACACCUGAGAACUGCC